RNAcentral lists this ribosomal RNA (503 nucleotides) under uncultured bacterium. RNAcentral describes it as "partial 16S ribosomal RNA". It matches the Rfam family "Bacterial small subunit ribosomal RNA", at positions 30 to 523 of the family's 1533-position model. The record is from RNAcentral.
AUUGAACGCUGGCGGCAGGCUUAACACAUGCAAGUCGAGCGGAGUGAUGGUGCUUGCACUAUCACUUAGCGGCGGACGGGUGAGUAAUGCUUAGGAAUCUGCCUAUUAGUGGGGGACAACAUCUCGAAAGGGAUGCUAAUACCGCAUACGUCAUACGGGAGAAAGCAGGGGAUCACUUGUGACCUUGCGCUAAUAGAUGAGCCUAAGUCGGAUUAGCUAGUUGGUGGGGUAAAGGCCUACCAAGGCGACGAUCUGUAGCGGGUCUGAGAGGAUGGUCCGCCACACUGGGACUGAGACACGGCCCAGACUCCUACGGGAGGCAGCAGUGGGGAAUAUUGGACAAUGGGGGGAGCCCUGAUCCAGCCAUGCCGCGUGUGUGAAGAAGGCCUUAUGGUUGUAAAGCACUUUAAGCGAGGAGGAGGCUCUUUUGGUUAAUACCCAAGAUGAGUGGACGUUACUCGCAGAAUAAGCACCGGCUAACUCUGUGCCAGCCGCCGCGGUAA